This 73-nucleotide transfer RNA is filed under the name Canis lupus familiaris (dog). It matches the Rfam family "tRNA". Rfam says of the family: Transfer RNA (tRNA) molecules are approximately 80 nucleotides in length. Their secondary structure includes four short double-helical elements and three loops (D, anti-codon, and T loops). Lineage: Eukaryota; Metazoa; Chordata; Mammalia; Carnivora; Canidae. RNAcentral also lists the same sequence under 2 other names. The record is from Rfam by way of RNAcentral.
ACCUGGCUGGCUCAGUUGGAGGAGCAUGUGACUCUUGAUCUCAGAGUUGUGAGUUCAAGCCUCAUGUUGGGUA